UACGUAGGGUGCAAGCGUUGUCCGGAAUUAUUGGGCGUAAAGAGCUCGUAGGCGGUUUGUUGCGUCGGCUGUGAAAUCCCGAGGCUCAACCUCGGGUCUGCAGUCGAUACGAGCAAACUAGAGUGUUGCAGGGGAGAUUGGAAUUCCUGGUGUAGCGGUGAAAUGCGCAGAUAUCAGGAGGAACACCGGUGGCGAAGGCGGGUCUCUGGGCAACAACUGACGCUGAGGAGCGAAAGCGUGGGGAGCGAACAGG
This 253-nucleotide ribosomal RNA is filed under the name uncultured bacterium. Its description in RNAcentral is "partial 16S ribosomal RNA". It matches the Rfam family "Bacterial small subunit ribosomal RNA", at positions 524 to 776 of the family's 1533-position model. The record is from RNAcentral.